Betta splendens (Siamese fighting fish) is the source of this 3502-nucleotide long non-coding RNA. The record is from Ensembl. NCBI's taxonomy places the organism in Eukaryota, Metazoa, Chordata, Actinopteri, Anabantiformes, Osphronemidae.
GAAAGGAGGAGCAAUCUUCAAGUUUAUUGCCAGGUGCAUUCAAAAACAGACCAGUCGUCUACAUCUGGAGAAGAGAGAAGCAACAGCAUGGAAAGACAACUCCUUUACUGGACAUUACUGCUUGGAUUACUUCAUGCAUCCUGUGGCCAAUCAACAACAGAAGUACCAACAACCAUAACUGAGGCAACAACAACUGAAGCAAUAACGACCACAGCAGCAGCAACGACAAUCACAACUCAAGCAACAAUGGAUACAACUCAAGGAGUGACGACAAUCACAACUGAAGCAACAGCGACCACAGCCACAGCAACUGAACCAUCAACAACAACAACUACCCCUGCUUCACUCAUCAUACCUGAUACAACUACCACUGCUCCAACUACCACGCCUGAUACAACUACCACUAGUCCUGAAACAACUACCACACCUGAAACAACUACCACUAGUCCAGAAACAACUACCACACCUGAAAAAACUACCACUGCUCCACCCACCACACCUGAAACAACUACUACUAGUCCUGAAACAACUACCACUGCUCCACCCACCACACCUGAAACAACUACUACUAGUCCUGAAACAACUACCACUACUCCACCCACCACACCUGAAACAACUACCACUACUCCAACUACCUCACCUGAUACAACCACCACUAGUGCUGAAACAACUACCACUGCUCCAAAACCCACACCUGAUACAACUACCCUGACUUCAACCAGUGAUGCAGCGUUUGUCACAACUCCAUUGACAACAACAACUACCACUGCCCCACCCACCACACCUGUUACAACUACCACUACUCCAACCACCACACCCGGAAUAACUACCACUACUCCAACUACUACACCUGAUACAUCUACCACUACUCCAACCACCACACCUGAUACAACCACAACCUCUCCAACCACCACACCUGAGCCAACUACCACUGCUCUAACCACCACACCUGAAACAACUACCACUACUCCAACUACCACACCUGAUACAACCACAACCUCUCCAACCACCACACCUGAAACAACUACCACUACUCCAACUACCACACCUGAUACAACCACAACCUCUCCAACCACCACACCUGAAACAACUACCACUACUCCAACUACCACACCUGAUACAACCACCACUAGUCCUGAAACAACUACCACUGCUCCACCCACCACACCUGAAACAACUACCACUAGUCCUGAAACAACUACCACUGCUCCAACCACCACAUCUGAAACAACUACCACUAGUCCUGAAACAACUACCACUGCUCCAACCACCACACCUGAAACAACUACCACUAGUCCUGAAACAACUACCACUACUCCACCCACCACACCUGAAACAACUACCACUACUCCAACUACCUCACCUGAAACAACUACCACUAGUCCUGAAACAACUACCACUGCUCCAACCACCACCCCUGAAACAACUACCACUACUCCAACUACCACACCUGAAACAACUACCACUAUUCCUGAAACAACUACAACUGCUCCACCCACCACGUCUGAAACAACUACCACUACUCCAACAACCACACCUGAUGCAGCUACCACUAGUCCUGAAACAACUACCACUGCUCCAACCACCACAUCUGAAACAACUACAACUAGUCCUGAAACAACUACCACUAGUCCUGAGACAACUACCACUGCUCCACCCACCACUCCUGAUACAACUACUACUGCUCCAACCACCACACCUGAAACAACUACCACUACUUCAACUACCACACCUGAAACAACUACCACUAUUCCUGAAACAACUACCACUGCUCCACCCACCACACCUGAAACAACUAACACUAGUCCUGAAACAACUACCCCUGCUCCAACAACCACACCUGAUACAACUACCCUGACUUCAACCAGUGAUGCAGCGUUUGUCACAACUCCAUUGACCACAACUACUAUCACUACUCCACCCACCACACCUGAAACAACUACCACUGCUCCAACCACCACACCUGAUACAACCACAACUUCUCCAACCACCACACCUGAGCCAACUACCACUACUCCAAUCACCACACCUGAUACAACUACCACUACUCCAACCACCAUACCUGAUACAACUACCACUGCUCCAACCACCACACCUGAUACAACCACAACUUCUCCAACCACCACACCUGAGCCAACUACCACUACUCCAAUCACCAUACCUAAUACAACUACCACUACUCCAACCACCACACCUGAUACAACCACAACUUCUCCAACCACCGCACCUGAAACAACUACCGCUACUCCAACCACCACACCUGAAACAACUACCACUGCUCAAACCACAACAACUGAAGUCAUAACGACAGAAACAGGAACCACAACCACAUUACCAACAAGCACAGCAACAACAACCACAACAACUGAAGCAACAACAACUACAACUAAAGUAACGACCACAACCACAGCAACUACAUCACCAACAACAACAACUACAUCAUCAACAACAACAACCACCUCACCAACAACGACAACCACAUCACCGACGACGACAACCACAUCACCAACGACGACAACUUUAUCAACAACAAUAACAACCACAUCGUCAGGCUUAGUAUCACUGGUACAUCUAGAGAUGACGCUCACAGCCUUUGGGCAGGUGACCAAUGAGACAAUCACUAACCUUGUUGAUAAGUUUUUAAUGGAGACCCUAAAUCUAACAGCCUCCAGCAUCAAAAUCAAACAACAAACAUUGUCAGCAUGAGUGUUAACAACCACAACAAUGGAAGCACCAUCAAUUAACAAACAAAUUUAACUAAGAACUACAAUCUCAACACUACUAUUGUGUUGUAGAACUACAAUUCCAGCAGCAACUAGAAAAAGUGAAGCAUCAACAACCAGUCCAUCAUAACCUGCUGAAACUGCCCUGUUUUCUUUUUGUUCACUAAUAUUUAUUUCUCUCCAUCAUAAUUAUAUUUACAUGUGUUUAUGCAGAUACUGUAGUUUGUAGUCACUUGUCUUCCCUGAUUGACGCCUGUUGUCCUUAAGGUCUCACUUUUUAUUUCUAAUGAAAUUAAUCACCAGGUUAAAUGGUCUUCAUCCAUCAAUACUUAUUUUUUAUUGUAAACUUCAACUUAGGCAGCUCCACUUUGUCACUUGUUUGUUAAAACAAUCUGAACAUAGUGUGUGAUCUUUUAUUUUGCUUAGACUACUGUCAUUUAUUGUGAUCCUGUUUUAGCUCCUAGUGUUUGUAUUAUUUCCUGACCUACACUAACUAUCACUGAACCACAGGUCUCUGUCUGAAGCAAAAUGGUGUUAAAUGGUCUUAUUGGGAUUUUGUUGACUUUUGACAAUUUUCAUCUUCAGGAAACUUGGUUAAAAAUCUUUUUAAUCAUAGUUACAUUCUGGGUAUCAUAAAUCAGAGAUUGACUGAAAAGUGAUAUUUGUAGCAUAGUGAACAUGAGACCAUGUGAUCCAACAGGACAUCAAGAAACUGCCACGCUGACAAGUUUGGUAACCAGGAAACUAAUAAACUAUGUUUCUUGCUUAAUCCUUUGUCA